GAGAGUUUGGCCGAGUGGUUUAAGGCGUCAGAUUUAGGUUCUUCUAAAUUCUCUGAUAUCUACGGAUUCGCGGGUUCGAAUCCCGUAGCUCUCA
Molecule: non-coding RNA, 94 nt
Organism: [Ashbya] aceris (nom. inval.)
Lineage: Eukaryota; Fungi; Ascomycota; Saccharomycetes; Saccharomycetales; Saccharomycetaceae
Source: the annotation of a GenBank genome assembly